GACGAACGCUGGCGGCGUGCUUAACACAUGCAAGUCGAACGGCAAGGCCCUGCUUUUGUGGGGUGCUCGAGUGGCGAACGGGUGAGUAACACGUGAGUAACCUGCCCUUGACUUUGGGAUAACUUCAGGAAACUGGGGCUAAUACCGGAUAGGAGCUCCUGCUGCAUGGUGGGGGUUGGAAAGUUUCGGCGGUUGGGGAUGGACUCGCGGCUUAUCAGCUUGUUGGUGGGGUAGUGGCUUACCAAGGCUUUGACGGGUAGCCGGCCUGAGAGGGUGACCGGCCACAUUGGGACUGAGAUACGGCCCAGACUCCUACGGGGGGCAGCAGUGGGGAAUAUUGCACAAUGGGCGGAAGCCUGAUGCAGCAACGCCGCGUGCGGGAUGACGGCCUUCGGGUUGUAAACCGCUUUCGCCUGUGACGAAGCGUGAGUGACGGUAAUGGGUAAAGAAGCACCGGCUAACUACGUG
RNAcentral lists this ribosomal RNA (468 nucleotides) under uncultured bacterium. RNAcentral describes it as "partial 16S ribosomal RNA". It matches the Rfam family "Bacterial small subunit ribosomal RNA", at positions 28 to 507 of the family's 1533-position model. The record is from RNAcentral.